RNAcentral lists this long non-coding RNA (213 nucleotides) under Lathyrus oleraceus (garden pea). Its description in RNAcentral is "Pisum sativum (pea) long non-coding RNA (PSAT_LNC008609)". Lineage: Eukaryota; Viridiplantae; Streptophyta; Magnoliopsida; Fabales; Fabaceae. The record is from RNAcentral.
AAAUGAGAUGCUCUUUGAAACUUCAAGAACUUGUGGAAAUGCAAUAGAAUGAAACUUGGUAUUUUCCUCUUGCCUUGCUUGCUUUGAAAAUACAGCAGCCUCCAUUCAGAUUAGGGUUUUAGAAGCUUAUAUGUGUAGGGUUUAAUGUGUCUUAAUGGGCUUGAAAUAUUUGUUUGGAUUCAUGAACAACAUGUAUGAAAAUGAGGUGUGAAA